GUAACCAACUAGUUCAAUUUUAUGUGCGGUCAUGCUCGACGUGAACCAAGCCUUUGAUAGGACAAUUUUACACCAAGUGCGGUGACGCCACCUUGUCUAUACAGAGCAUCAGAGCCGGAGUCCCACAAGGAGCGUUCUGGGACCACUGAUAUACUCGGCUCGGAUUAGAGCCUCUUGGUCGCCACGUACGUGGAUGAUACUGCUUUCUUUACAACGGCCAACACACCGCAGUACGCGUCCUCCAUUAUGCAGCGUCAAUUAAACUCCCUGGACAGCUGGCUGAAAAGGUGGAAAAUCGCGGUCAACCAGGAAAAAUCCACCCAUAUCACUUUCACGCUGCGCAAAGGAAACUUCCGGUGAGCACAACGAACAAUUAACUAGGCAUGACCCUCGACAGACGGCUGACAUGGCCCGAACAUAUUGUGGAAGGAAGCAGGCAAGCUGAAACAAUAUUACUGGCUGAUCGGCAGGCAGUCCAAAUUGAAUAUUUGCGUCAAGCUGUUUAUUUAUAAAUCAAUUAUCAAGCCAACAUGGACUUACAGAAUCCAUCUAUUGGGUACCGCCAGCAGGAGCAUUAUUCAGCGGUUUCAAAAUAAAGCUCUGCGAAUUUUAUCUAACGCGCAUAUAUACCAUGAAAAUAUCACAAUUCACAGCCUUCUAUAUAUUCCUUGGGUAAAAGAGGUAAUUGCCAAGUUGAGUGAUCGCUACAUCGCCAGACUAGGCAACCACCCAAAAAAUCUUGCCACCAAGACAGCUAAAAGAACACACCCGGUUGACCUCCCCCAAAGAGUCUAAUUCCACACUUCCCACGGCUCCCUCUACACUAAAAAGACACAAAGAUAAUAAUAAUGUUCAAAAAAAAUAUAUUUUUUAUAAUCUAAGCCUAUCAUAAAGAUCGGACAAUAAAGACUGAAGUAAUUCAAGCAUGCAUUCCCCAAUAUGGGACAAAGGGAAAAGCACAGCUGCUGCAGUUCGAACAUGACAUCAGCUCGGCGCUAGGUAAAGGGUAUACCCUAGACUUACACACCAGACUAGACAGCUCUAACUUGUUUGUACUACCCUAAUCUGUAAAAAGUAUAUUAUACAAAAAUUUAUUAGUGAUUCGUUUAGAGAUUGGGAGCUGUCUGUGGUAAUAUGGCCAAGUCAGGUGAACCUUAAAACCCACUAAAUUGUUAUAUAAGUAAAUGUAUAUACAAAUCCAUGCGUAUAAAAUUUUACUUUAACUCAACUUUUACUUACAUUAAAUAAUAAAAAUGCAGUUGAAAUUCGUAUAA
Molecule: long non-coding RNA, 1274 nt
Organism: Drosophila montana
Lineage: Eukaryota; Metazoa; Arthropoda; Insecta; Diptera; Drosophilidae
Exons: 2
Source: RefSeq, a predicted model, not a curated record